GACAUUCAGCAGUAGGAGAUAGGACCACCAACACAACCCAUUGACAUUCAGCAGUAGGAGGUAGGACCACCAACACACCCCAUUGACAUUCAGCAGUAGGAGGUAGGACCACCAACACAACCCAUUGACAUCCAGCAGUAGGAGGUAGGAC
Oncorhynchus keta (chum salmon) is the source of this 151-nucleotide long non-coding RNA. RefSeq lists it as uncharacterized. The record is from RefSeq and is a predicted model, not a curated record. The transcript is spliced from 3 exons. Lineage: Eukaryota; Metazoa; Chordata; Actinopteri; Salmoniformes; Salmonidae.